AGUGAACGCUGGCGGUAGGCCUAACACAUGCAAGUCGAACGGCAGCACAGUAAGAGCUUGCUCUUACGGGUGGCGAGUGGCGGACGGGUGAGGAAUACAUCGGAAUCUACUUUUUCGUGGGGGAUAACGUAGGGAAACUUACGCUAAUACCGCAUACGACCUACGGGUGAAAGCAGGGGAUCUUCGGACCUUGCGCGAUUGAAUGAGCCGAUGUCGGAUUAGCUAGUUGGCGGGGUAAAGGCCCACCAAGGCGACGAUCCGUAGCUGGUCUGAGAGGAUGAUCAGCCACACUGGAACUGAGACACGGUCCAGACUCCUACGGGAGGCAGCAGUGGGGAAUAUUGGACAAUGGGCGCAAGCCUGAUCCAGCCAUACCGCGUGGGUGAAGAAGGCCUUCGGGUUGUAAAGCCCUUUUGUUGGGAAAGAAAAGCAGCAGGUUAAUACCCCGCUGUCCUGACGGUACCCAAAGAAUAAGCGCCGGCUAACUUCGUG
This 492-nucleotide ribosomal RNA is filed under the name uncultured bacterium. Its description in RNAcentral is "partial 16S ribosomal RNA". It matches the Rfam family "Bacterial small subunit ribosomal RNA", at positions 29 to 507 of the family's 1533-position model. The record is from RNAcentral.